GAAAUGCGAUAAGUAAUGUGAAUUGCAGAAUUCAGUGAAUCAUCGAAUCUUUGAACGCACCUUGCGCUCCUUGGUAUUCCUUGGAGCAUGCCUGUUUGAGUAUCAUGAAAUCUUCAAAGUAAAUCUUUUGUUAACUCAAUUGGUUUCUACUUUGGUAUGGGAGGUCUUUGCAGCUUCACACCUGCUCCUCUUUGUUCAUUAGCUGGAUCUCAGUGUUAUGCUUGGUUCCACUCGGCGUGAUAAGUUAUCUAUCGCUGAGGACACUGUAAAAGGUGGCCAAGGUAAAUGCAGAUGAACCGCUUCUAAUAGUCCAUUGACUUGGACAAUACUUUUAUGAUCUGAUCUCAAAUCAGGUAGGACUACCCGCUGAACUUAAGC
Molecule: unclassified non-coding RNA, 378 nt
Filed under: plant metagenome
Description: partial contains 5.8S ribosomal RNA, internal transcribed spacer 2, and large subunit ribosomal RNA
Rfam family: 5.8S ribosomal RNA (bases 1-105)
Source: RNAcentral